RNAcentral lists this non-coding RNA (24 nucleotides) under Arabidopsis thaliana (thale cress). The record is from RNAcentral. Lineage: Eukaryota; Viridiplantae; Streptophyta; Magnoliopsida; Brassicales; Brassicaceae.
AGGCCUGAGCUUAGCGAGCAGAGA